Molecule: ribosomal RNA, 519 nt
Filed under: uncultured eukaryote
Lineage: Eukaryota
Description: SSU rRNA
Rfam family: Eukaryotic small subunit ribosomal RNA
Source: RNAcentral
AGGGCACCACCAGGAGUGGAGCCUGCGGCUUAAUUUGACUCAACACGGGGAAACUCACCCGGCCCGGACACCGGAAGGAUUGACAGAUUGAUAGCUCUUUCUUGAUUCGGUGGAUGGUGGUGCAUGGCCGUUCUUAGUUGGUGGAGCGAUCUGUCUGGUUAAUUCCGAUAACGAACGAGACUCUAGCCUAUUAAAUAGACGUCGGGUUCUCUGCACUCGACGGUCUUCUUAGAGGGACAAGGUGCUUUUAGCACCGCGAAACAGAGCAAUAACAGGUCUGUGAUGCCCUUAGAUGUCCGGGGCCGCACGCGCGCUACACUGAAGAGAUCAGCGUGCAUGUGCUUCCUACUCCGAAAGGAGCGGGAAACCGAGUGAACCUUUUUCGUGCUUGGGAUUGGGGAUUGUAAUUAUUCUCCAUGAACGAGGAAUUCCCAGUAAGCACAAGUCAUCAGCUUGUGUUGAUUACGUCCCUGCCCUUUGUACACACCGCCCGUCGCUACUACCGAUUGGAUGUUUUAG